AUUGAACGCUGGCGGCAGGCCUAACACAUGCAAGUCGGGCGAGUGGCGGACGGGUGAGUAAUGUAUGGGGAUCUGCCUGAUGGCGGGGGAUAACUACUGGAAACGGUAGCUAAUACCGCAUACCAUCAGAUGAACCCAUAUGGGAUUAGCUAGUAGGUGGGGUAACGGCUUACCUAGGCGACGAUCCCUAGCUGGUCUGAGAGGAUGAUCAGCCACACUGGGACUGAGACACGGCCCCGACUCCUACGGGAGGCAGCAGGGGGGAAUAUUGCACAAUGGGCGCAAGCCUGAUGCAGCCAUGCGGCGUGUAUGAAGAAGGCCUUCGGGGUGUAAAGUACUUUCAGUCGGGAGGCGUUACCGACAGAAGAAGCACCGGCUAACUCCGUGCCAGCAGCCGCGGUAAGAC
RNAcentral lists this ribosomal RNA (406 nucleotides) under uncultured bacterium. RNAcentral's name for it is "partial 16S ribosomal RNA". It matches the Rfam family "Bacterial small subunit ribosomal RNA", at positions 30 to 526 of the family's 1533-position model. The record is from RNAcentral.